AAUGAGCGCUGGCGGCAGGCCUAACACAUGCAAGUCGAACGGAUCCUUCGGGAUUAGUGGCGGACGGGUGAGUAACGCGUGGGAACAUACCCAAAGGUACGGAAUAGCCUCGGGAAACUGGGAGUAAUACCGUAUGUGCUCGAAAGAGGAAAGAUUUAUCGCCUUUGGAUUGGCCCGCGUUGGAUUAGGUAGUUGGUGGGGUAAUGGCCCACCAAGCCGACGAUCCAUAGCUGGUUUGAGUGGAUGAUCAGCCACACUGGGACUGAGACACGGCCCAGACUCCUACGGGAGGCAGCAGUGGGGAAUCUUAGACAAUGGGGGAAACCCUGAUCUAGCCAUGCCGCGUGAUCGAUGAAGGCCUUAGGGUUGUAAAGAUCUUUCAGGUGGGAAGAUAAUGACUGUACCACCAGAAGAAGCCCCGGCUAACUCCGUGCCAGCAGCCGCAGUAA
This 449-nucleotide ribosomal RNA is filed under the name uncultured bacterium. RNAcentral's name for it is "partial 16S ribosomal RNA". It matches the Rfam family "Bacterial small subunit ribosomal RNA", at positions 29 to 523 of the family's 1533-position model. The record is from RNAcentral.